Molecule: long non-coding RNA, 284 nt
Filed under: Lathyrus oleraceus (garden pea)
Lineage: Eukaryota; Viridiplantae; Streptophyta; Magnoliopsida; Fabales; Fabaceae
Description: Pisum sativum (pea) long non-coding RNA (PSAT_LNC013275)
Source: RNAcentral
UCAUGUUGUUGAUGUGUUACAUGCAUAUUAUCGUAUAAAUGCCAUUGCACAUGCGAUUAUAGAGAGGUGAGACUUUAUAGAAGACACUUUUGGGAGGGUCACUAUAGAUGUCAUUCUCUCUAAGGCACAAACGACACUGAAGUACAUAAGACAGAGAAUGAACAGGGGGUCAAAUAUAUCUAGUAGUAUUUAUAUUAUGGAUUGUAUUAUAGUUUGUAAUUUGCCAUUUUGAUAGUAUGAUGAAUUCAAAAUUGAUUAUAGUAUAUGACAUUAUAAUCUUAUUA